UACAGAGGGUGCAAGCGUUGUUCGGAAUUAUUGGGACGUAAAGGGCGCGUAGGCGGUGCGGUAAGUCUGUAAGUGAAAUCUCUGGGCUCAACUCAGAGUCUGCUGACAGAAACUGCCGUGCUUGAGUGUGGGAGGAGGUGAGUUGGAAUUCCCGGUGUAGCGGUAGAAAUGCGUAGAUAUCGGGAAGGAACACCUGUGGCGAAAGCGGCUCACUGGGACCACACUGACGCUGAGGCGACGAAAGCUAGGGGGAGCAAACAGGG
Molecule: ribosomal RNA, 263 nt
Filed under: uncultured bacterium
Lineage: Bacteria
Description: partial 16S ribosomal RNA
Rfam family: Bacterial small subunit ribosomal RNA
Source: RNAcentral